RNAcentral lists this ribosomal RNA (301 nucleotides) under uncultured bacterium. RNAcentral's name for it is "partial 16S ribosomal RNA". It matches the Rfam family "Bacterial small subunit ribosomal RNA", at positions 509 to 807 of the family's 1533-position model. The record is from RNAcentral.
CAGCCGCCGCGGUAAUACGUAGGGUGCAAGCGUUAAUCGGAAUUACUGGGCGUAAAGCGUGCGUAGGCGGUUCGUUAAGUCUGUUGUGAAAGCCCCGGGCUCAACCUGGGAAUGGCAAUGGAUACUGGCGAGCUAGAGUGUGUCAGAGGAUGGUGGAAUUCCCGGUGUAGCGGUGAAAUGCGUAGAGAUCGGGAGGAACAUCAGUGGCGAAGGCGGCCAUCUGGGACAACACUGACGCUGAGGCACGAAAGCGUGGGGAGCAAACAGGAUUAGAUACCCCGGUAGUCCCUGUCUCUUAUAC